UACAGGGGGUGCAAACGUUGCUCGGAAUCAUUGGGCGUAAAGCGCACGUAGGCGGCUGUGUCAGUCAGGGGUGAAAUCCCGGAGCUCAACUUCGGAACUGCCUUUGAUACAGCACAUCUGGAGUCCGGAAGAGGUGGGUGGAAUUCCUAGUGUAGAGGUGAAAUUCGUAGAUAUUCGCAAGAACACCAGUGGCGAAGGCGGCUCACUGGCCCGAUACUGACGCUGAGGUGCGAAAGCGUGGGGAGCAAACAGG
RNAcentral lists this ribosomal RNA (253 nucleotides) under uncultured bacterium. Its description in RNAcentral is "partial 16S ribosomal RNA". It matches the Rfam family "Bacterial small subunit ribosomal RNA", at positions 524 to 776 of the family's 1533-position model. The record is from RNAcentral.